RNAcentral lists this ribosomal RNA (377 nucleotides) under uncultured bacterium. RNAcentral's name for it is "bacterial SSU rRNA". It matches the Rfam family "Bacterial small subunit ribosomal RNA", at positions 523 to 898 of the family's 1533-position model. The record is from RNAcentral.
ACACGUAGGGGGCGAGCGUUGUCCGGAAUUACUGGGCGUAAAGGGCGCGUAGGCGGCCUAGCAAGUCAGGCGUGAAAUUUUAAGGCUCAACCUUAAGACUGCGUCUGAAACUGUUAGGCUUGAGGGCAGGAGAGGAGAGCGGAAUUCCCAGUGUAGCGGUGAAAUGCGUAGAUAUUGGGAGGAACACCAGUGGCGAAGGCGGCUCUCUGGACUGUACCUGACGCUGAGGCGCGAAAGCGUGGGGAGCAAACAGGAUUAGAUACCCUGGUAGUCCACGCUGUAAACGAUGGGUGCUAGGUGUUGGAGGUAUCGAUCCCUCCAGUGCCGCAGUAAACGCAAUAAGCACCCCGCCUGGGGACUACGGCCGCAAGGCUGAA